This is a long non-coding RNA of Saccostrea cuccullata (small rock oyster), 2324 nucleotides long. RefSeq lists it as uncharacterized. Lineage: Eukaryota; Metazoa; Mollusca; Bivalvia; Ostreida; Ostreidae. The transcript has 3 exons. The record is from RefSeq and is a predicted model, not a curated record.
GGAACAAGUUGUCUACUAUAUCCAGCCAAGCCUUUACUGCAUACAUGUGCACAUUUUUAGUUGAUGCAUCUAAAAGAUAUAGUUUUGAUUCGGUGUUUCUUUGUUUUCUUUUUAUUCAAAUGAUUUUAAAAUGUGAUAAUGUACACAACAAUAAUUAGUACCUAGUUUAGAGGAUUUUUUCGCGCUUGUUUGUAAACAACGCGCGGCAUUGUGGGAAAUAGGAAGGUACUAAAGACGCGAUGUACUAAACACUGAUUUGACCUGAUUCAAAUUUGUCUGUAAAUGUUCCAAACAGUUGAAUUUUUGUAUAGCAUAUGCCUCGAAGUCAUAAAGUCUGUACAUAAGUAAUUUAAAAUACUCAAUAUUACCAUUUAAUUAAAAUUAAAACGUCAGGUAAAUAUCAGGUCUCUAGUAUAUCCCGUUUUUAGUGUGCCCCUUCGAGUCGACGUCGGACACAUGUUUGUCAUGGUUUACAAACUGAAAAUAGAAUGAUUUGUGAAGUUGAACAUUUUCUCACAAAGAAUCCGUUUGUAGACAUGCACACUCAUUUAAUCUGGAGCUACGAAUCAUUUCAUGGUGCCACCACUUGGGAUGGUAUUAGCUGCAAAUAUAGACUUGUACUCAGCACUUAUUGCCUUUAAGAAGUAUGAGAUCCAUUUUGUGCUAACACCUACCGUGACACAGAAUCUUGGUUUAUGCAGUCUCAUAGGAGUAACCUGUCUAAAGCAUUUAGCAAAUGAAAUUGGAACCUGCGACGUGUAACUCAUCUGAAUACUGAAUUUUGAUACCAAGCAUGACCAUGAUUUGCCAGAAGAUCAUCUGUUUGGAUGUGACAUGGAAUAAACAGCAUAGUGAAAAUAAGUCAAGUUUUGGUUUGUGAAGACAAUUUUUAAACACACUGUGUAUCAUUUUUAAAUUUUGAUUUGACAACAUAAAUCCACAAAUAUGAACAUAUCAAUUGCUCUCAGUUUUUUUCAAGUGAAAUAGUUCUUGUAACAGAAAUACAUGUACCAGUAAUUACAUUGGAAUAAAUGUUAUUUCUAAAUAUAAUAAUAUUUUGUUUGUGUAGCAUGUUGACCUCUUUAUUAAGGUCUUCCCUUUCAAAGUUUAGACUUACUUAUUCUAAUGAUUAAGAUAGAUCCUCUGUCUUCAGCAGGAAUAUAAGAUCUUGUAAUACAUGUAUGUGUAUUUUUUACAGUAUAAUGUAAAAAAAAAAUUGUUGUUUUGGCACAUACAACUAAUUAAAGGCAUAAACAUGUGUAUGAUUCCAAGGAAUUCAGUACAUAGGGCAUGUACAUGUAGUUUUCUAAAACAAGAUUGAAGAUAUGUCCAGUCGCAUUUCAAUGUCAACUCCAAAACUGUGCCUGUUGCAUACUUAUUAGCCCAUCUGAGCUAAAGGAACCAGUAAAUUUUUUAAAAACAUAAUUUUAUCCAUUAUCAUCAUUGUCUAAAAUUUCACAAUAUCAUUUUCCAGAACCAAAGUGAAAAUUGGCACAGAGCAUCCUUAGUGUAGGGGAUUCAAAUUGUUCUUAUGCAGGGCAAUACCUUCAAAGAGAUUUGUUUCUUUAAUGCUGUAAAUGUAUUAUAUUUAGCUUGUACAAUAUUUGGUGGAAAUUGACUUUUGAAUAAGUUAGCCUAGAUAUUCUUAUUUAUGUUUAUGUACAAGACUUUUAGCUUUGUACUUGAUUUAGUGAUUGCUGCAUUCCGCCAAAGCCGCUAAAAAAGAAUACACAGACAUAUGUAAAAUGUUCAUAAUAUACCUUUCAGAGAAUUUUACACUCCUAUUGAGGUACCACCAGUUGCUAGUGGAAAGCUUCAAAUUCGAAACAUACACAACACAUUUCUGUGCGUUUAUUAUAAAAGUAUUGUUCUACUUACUGAUUGCAACUAAUGAAGAUUGUUCAUCAUUAUUGUAAAUACAUUUGGAUUUUUUGAAUUAUUAUAUAAUUUGUUUAUUUUAUUUACCUAGUUAUAUUGUAUAUUAAAUGAUUUUAAAGCCAUUUUUAAGAUGGUAAUGUAGCAAAACACUUAUGUUUCUGUAGUAUGACACGUUUCACAAACAUAAUUGCAACAAACAUGAUAUAUCCGAUAUCAAAAGUCAUAAAAUUGGAAGUUAAACUGUUGUGGAUACGAUUUCAAGAAUGCUGUUAGAGAGAGUACCCUUUAGACCUCAUGCUCACACCAAAUUAAAGAAUUCAAGUAAGGGUUUUUGAGACAAAUCGAAAAAGAGAAUGUUAGCAAAGUUGACAAUCUAGACAGAAACAUUGAAUCUUUUGCUUAUCGCUAGGAAGGAAGACCCACUCGUUGCUUUGCAACGAGCUUUG